This 254-nucleotide ribosomal RNA is filed under the name uncultured bacterium. RNAcentral's name for it is "partial 16S ribosomal RNA". It matches the Rfam family "Bacterial small subunit ribosomal RNA", at positions 524 to 776 of the family's 1533-position model. The record is from RNAcentral.
UACGUAGGGUGCGAGCGUUGUCCGGAUUUAUUGGGCGUAAAGAGCUCGUAGGUGGUUUGGUAAGUCGGAUGUGAAAUCUCCAGGCUCAACCUGGAGGGGUCAUUCGAUACUGCCAUGACUAGAGGUCGGUAGGGGAGUGUGGAAUUCCUGGUGGAGCGGUGAAAUGCGCAGAUAUCAGGAGGAACACCCGUAGCGAAGGCGGCACUCUGGGCCGAUUCUGACACUGAGGAGCGAAAGCGUGGGGAGCGAACAGG